Small nuclear RNA from Impatiens glandulifera, 98 nucleotides. NCBI's taxonomy places the organism in Eukaryota, Viridiplantae, Streptophyta, Magnoliopsida, Ericales, Balsaminaceae. The record is from RefSeq and is a predicted model, not a curated record.
GUCUCUUCGGGGAAAUAUGAUAAAAUUGGAACGACACAUUGAAGAUUAGCAUGUCCCAUGCGUAAAGGAGUUCAUAAUCUAAAAUGUGAAUUAGUUUU